Molecule: non-coding RNA, 335 nt
Organism: Parasteatoda tepidariorum (common house spider)
Lineage: Eukaryota; Metazoa; Arthropoda; Arachnida; Araneae; Theridiidae
Source: RefSeq, a predicted model, not a curated record
AAAAGUUUGUUCCUUGAAAAUUUUGAACCUUGCAUUGAAUUUUCAAAAUUUGUAAAAAUACAGUCAGAUUUCAAAGAGCGAAGCAUUGGUGAAAUUAAAUCUUACAUUGUGCUUUAUUGUCAGGAAAUAAGUCGAAGUUUGGAUCUCAUGAACAUUACUGAGGAUAACAUCUCGUCCCGAACAAUCGUUACUAAUUCUUUAGACUCACUUCUUGUUGUUCUUGUUGAAUGCUAUACAGGAUAUUUAGCUGAGUUUGGAUUUUUAUUUGGUGCAUCCAGGAAAAACAAACUGUGUGUUAUAUUCAAAAGUUUUAUUUCAUUAAAUGGAAAAAAGGU